This 802-nucleotide long non-coding RNA is filed under the name Macaca mulatta (Rhesus monkey). RNAcentral describes it as "lncRNA (ENSMMUG00000065321.1)". The record is from RNAcentral. Lineage: Eukaryota; Metazoa; Chordata; Mammalia; Primates; Cercopithecidae.
AUAAAGGAUGGUACAAACACAGUCUUUACUUUUCCAUUCUUUGUCAUGUAGGAUUUAUGUAUCUCAAUUGCUAGGAUUCAGAGAACUCAAGAAUUCACCUAUAUGUGUUCAUACAGGGCUAAUAUAGGGCUAAUCUUCCUCCUUUAGGAAACUAAAUAUGGUGGUGAGACUUCUAAAGAAAAGUGUGCUCUUUCUCCCUCCCCCUGAUUCCAGGGAGUUCUCAUUGUUUGGUGUAAGGUCUUGGUUGUUAUGGUGACUGUAGUGGGCUGAAUUUGAAGUGAAUUAGAGAAAAUAUUUCACAGAUGAAGAGAAGUCUUGGCCUAUGCAUCAUUCAGUGAGAAGUGUAAAGUUUCCAAAGACCUAAAAACUAUGGUCAAAUAAGUACAAAAUCUCCCAACAAAAAGAGAAGUAAAGAAUACCGAGGCGGUAUCUACCAUUGUGUUUACCUGAAAGAUCUACACUGAGCUAUCUCGAGGUUGCAGUGGUAGUGACGUGUGUGAGGUUGGCUGAGUUAUGGCUCAUGGAAUCUGUUUUGUGGAAUUCACUCUUCUCACAGGUGACACAUGGGCAUUUGACCCAGAUGGAAAACAAUGUAAAUUUAUUUCAAGGACAAUAUUAUCAGAUUGUGAUGGCCAUUGGGAAUCCAGUAUUAAGGGUUCCAGCCCAAAAUGCAUUCUCUGGAAGAAAUGAUGAUCUGACUACCAGUGGUUUUUUUGUUGUUGUUGUUUUGGUUUUUUUUUUUUUUUUGGUUUGGUUGGUUGGUAUAGACUCACAUGUGAUUCAUUUAUACCAUCCUCUAUAG